This 232-nucleotide non-coding RNA is filed under the name Trichococcus sp. RNAcentral describes it as "T-box sequence". It matches the Rfam family "T-box leader". From Rfam's summary of the family: Uncharged tRNA acts as the effector for transcription antitermination of genes in the T-box leader family. The record is from RNAcentral. Lineage: Bacteria; Bacillati; Bacillota; Bacilli; Lactobacillales; Carnobacteriaceae.
GAUAAAGCCAUGCAUGUGAACAGUAGGUAAUGUGAAGCGCCCCAGAGAGUCAGUGGUUCGGUGAAAACUGACCCUUCACCUGUCGAAUCCCCACAUGAAGCGAACAAUGAAAACAAGAAAUUGACUAAAUUGUUCCGGAUCCGUCCGUUAACGCAAUGAAGCGCAGUCAGUCCGGUCGAGGCUGGCUGAAGUUGGGUGGUACCGCGAACGUUAAAGCCAUUUCGUCCCAGAU